Molecule: long non-coding RNA, 1363 nt
Organism: Labeo rohita (rohu)
Lineage: Eukaryota; Metazoa; Chordata; Actinopteri; Cypriniformes; Cyprinidae
Exons: 3
Source: RefSeq, a predicted model, not a curated record
UAUUGUUUAUUUGCACUUCAACCCAUUUAAUGAUCAUCAUUUUAUGGUAAAUUAAAAUGAAUAAGCUUUCUGUAGUUCUCAUUUUGUAUUCCUCUUUAGAUUUCCCAGCAAAUGGAUAUGCAACACCAGCCAAUGGAGGACCCAAUGGAGUGUAAGACGUCAUCUAGCAGAAAAAUCUAUUGAAGCAGGAAAUGUAGUGACUGAAGAUGUUGAUGGUCAUUUUGUCUUUUUUUUUCUUUGCUUUCCUGAAUUCCUUCAUUUCCUUCAUUCUAUAUGUUACGUAAACAGAUAGAUUGUAAUGACUCUGGUCAUGCUGCCUUAAGACUGUGUAAUAUGUAAUUAUGCAUAUGUUCAUGUGUGAUGAGAAAGGACAUGGAAUAUGGGGGAUUUUUAACUUUUACCAUUCUUAAGCUCAAGGAAAAUCUAAAAUAUCUGGAAUAACAGCUUUUGCCCCCUUUGUCCAAACAAAGGAAAUCAGGAUAGUUGUAGUCAUUGACUGUUACCGUCAAAAGCAUUUAUUUAAAUUAGGUCAAACAUUUCAGCUAAUACCCAUGUCCUGUUCUUACAUUAAUGCAUUUGGCAAAUUCUUUUAUCCAAAGUGACAUGCAUAAAUUUUCAAUACAUUUCAUCAGUUGAUACAUUUCGUGAAACUCAAACUCAUGACCCACUGAUAACUUUAUUUGUUUAUCUGAGGUCAGAGUAUGAAUUUGUCAAAAGUGUUGCGCUUCAGCUUUGAAUAAGAGUUACAGAGUUAAGAGUUACUUUGAAUAAGAGUGUUACAGAGUUAUUUUGAUGUUACUGUGAUUGCAAAACAAUUUUUUUUGAAGGAUUUAGCAUUGUUGACUGCAGAUGAGCUUGAUGUUUUACUUUAGUAUUAAUAGCAUCAUUUCACUAUGCAAAAAUGAAAAGAAUGCUGGGCACACACUGAAAGAGUUUUAAAAUCUUAUAAGAUCUUCAAAAUUCUACAAAAAACGUUCAGAAACCGUUUUGUUCCUAUAGUGUAUAGCGUGUCACGAUGUAACACAGACAGCACACAACACACCAACAGCUUUUCAACCAGAGUCCCUACUGUGAACACGGGAAAUAUCGCAAAAUCUCUCGAGACCUGAGAAUAAACAAGAUUAUUAUUUUAUUUUUUAGCAAUUUUAGAACAAAGAACAUACCUGGGCAAUAACAAAAAUUACAUCAAAUACAGUAAUAAACAAAAAAACAAUAAAUAAAAUAAAAUAAGAAAAACAAUAAGAAAAUUGCAUGUCCUUAAACAAGUAUAAAUAAUUACAAAUUAUUCAAAGAGUAGAUUUAAGGCUUUAAAGUAAUGGCAGGAAGUAAUUGUGAUGAUAGUGUGCAAAUUGUGCUGUGCCAU